Cryptomeria japonica (Japanese cedar) is the source of this 659-nucleotide long non-coding RNA. RefSeq lists it as uncharacterized. The record is from RefSeq and is a predicted model, not a curated record. Lineage: Eukaryota; Viridiplantae; Streptophyta; Pinopsida; Cupressales; Cupressaceae. The transcript is spliced from 2 exons.
UAUAAAUUUAUAAAAUAUCCACAAAUAACCUAUGAAUGAGUUUAUUAGUAAUGAUAAAUAUUUUUUUCUCUUAUAGGAUCAAAUUUUAACCGAAGAGAAUGCUCUCCUUAUGAAAAAGUGUGGAGGCUCCCAAUUUCUGGAUGGUUCAUCUUCUACAACAUGUACGAUUGGACUACUUACAUCUAAUUCACACAGUGAAGAUGAAAAUCAUCUUCAGUUAGUGAUGAGGCCUCCUGAUGUACAAGAUUCACCCACUGAAGUUGAAACUCAUCAACUUCAAUUAGUGAUGAGGCCUCCUGAUGUACAAGAUCACCUCGUAGUGCAUGAUUCUGAUUAAACAGUCAUAAAUGAAUGAAUUAUUAGACAUGAAAAAUAUUAUGUUUUACGAUAGAAACUGAGCUGAUUGAUAGAUUUAGACUAUUUAAUGAAUCUCGAGAUAUUCUUCUCUUGUGAGUAAAUAAUGAGAAGAUAUUAACAUAUGAUUAAAGAAAUUAAUUGUUAGUGAUUUGAUGCUAAUUUCUUUAAUAUUAUUUUAAAAUUCUUUUGUGUAUCGUAUAUUUUUUUCUAUUCGACUGGAUGCUAUCUCGGGUGCACACCGGCAUUAUGAUAGUAUCAGGAAAUGUAAAUUUCUCUACUAAUGUUUUCAUCUUUAAACUGUU